GGUUAUAGACUUGAAGGUCCAAAGUUCUUUAUAGGCACUAGAGUUAAUAUAGGAAAAUUUAUUCUGCUAUUGGCAAUUUAUUAAAUAAGGAAAAAAAAUAGCGUCUUAAACUCGUACUGCUUCGCUUUCAUGUGAAAGACCUAACCCAUAUCUUUCCCAAUUCCUAGGACAUCACAUUGCAAUGAGUGACUCUUAACACUCAAAUCAAAAGGAAGAUAGAGAAGGACACAGGAAACAAACAGAGCUUUAAAUUCCAAGCCAUAUUUCCAGGUCUCAUUGUAAAGCUCCUAGAAAAUUUAGGCUUCUAAAAACCUAUGUUCAUCACCCAGAUCUUAGACUUAAUGGGAGCUAGUUCCCUGGAGGCAAAAGUAUUAGAGUAAUAACUGGCCAGGCAAAGACAGAAAAAAAAAUGGAUUAUCCCUUAGAAAUGAAUUUUAUCAUUAGCUACUAUGAAUACCUCAAAUUAUGACAGAUUCACAUGUAAGUGUGCCAAAGAAAAGUAGCUGUAAUCUAUAAUACACACAAUGUUUUAUUACCCAGGAGAAUCUAGGUACUAAUGUGAAUGGUAUUGCAUCUGUGAAAUCCUGAAACCCACAAAGGAUUUGAAGAUAUAAAGCCAAAUAAAACAUAAUACAGAAGGAAAUGAUUUUGAUUAUGUAACAUUUAUAUAUAGCAUCUCAUUUUACAAUUUUAAAUUGCUUUUUCAGUCAUUGGUUUAUUCUCCCUGCACACCUGGGGAGAAUGCCUGUGCUGUUAUCCUCUGUUCAUAGCUGAGGCAUCUGAGACUGAAAGAGGCAAGGGGUUUUGUCCAAAAGCACAAUAGGGACAGGGUGUGAAAUUGUUCAUUCAAUCAGAUGCCUAUUCAAUACUACUUUUGGCAAGGCAUCAACAUCUGUGUGGUGGCAGUGCACAAUCAUGGGUACCUUAUGUGUGGCCACUCUCUUGCAGCAACUUGAGUUCUGCUGGACUAGGCAGUGGUCUGUCAAUCAAAGCUGCCCUAGUGAGAAAGGACCAAAAUAUAAGGGAGGAGGAGGAAGUGAGAGUUUGCUAAGAUUCCUGGAGAUUCGAAGCCACUGAAGCUUGGGUCAGUUUUGACUAAAGGGGCCGUGGGUUGUGGGAAUAGCACAGAGACAUGAAGGUGGGGAAAUAAUUUAACACAGAAUAGGAGAAUGUUCCAACUGUAGCAGAGUAGUUAUUGGGAAAGGACCAGAGAGCAGAAAAGGAACAGGCUUUCCAAGUAAUUUAAAUGCCCAUAUAAAAUAUAUGAAUUUCAAGCCCAUGGAUGGGCCUCAGGGGCUGGACUAGACUAUCUCUGAUUUCUCUUGUUUUCUCAUUAUUCUAAUAGCGGUUACAUGCUCAUUCCACAAAUAUGUCAUUGCAUAUUAACUUUCUAAACUUCACGUCAAUCUAAAAAGAUAUGUAGUUUUAUUGUGUGUGUGUGUGCACAUGCACACGUGUUCACAGGUGCCUACAGAGGCCUGAAGAGAGCACUGGAUCAUCUGAAGCAGGGAUUACAGGUGUUGGAAGGGACCUCCACGAGAUCAUGGACCUAAUAACUAUGAGACAUGGGACUCGAAAGCCAGACUUCUGACUUCUCACUUGGAAAGGACAGGUGCAGAUUCUGGAGUGUGCAUGCAUUUAGGAUACCCAAGGAAUGGCACACCCCCUCCCCUAGCCAAGUAUCUUUCCAGAAGUAAAAUAAUGCUUUAACAUUCUAGGUAUUUUAUGUCUACAUCCAGCUCUAGGGUAAAAAGAAAGAGAAUUUUCACCCCCCCCCGCCUCUACAAUUACAAUGACAUUCUUGUGGAUAUUGCAUACAUUCUGAUCUCAGCCUAGUCUUUCUACUACUUCAGAAUCUUUCUCAAAACACUGGUCAUUCCAUUUGCACUAUAGUUCCUGUUCUUAGCACUGCAGUCGAAUCCAUUUAACCUCUGCCCAUCUCUGUUUAAAGUUUUACCCCUCAAAUCUCUCUCCUCUCCUCCCUUCCCCUCCCCCUCCCCUCCCUCUCUCCCUCCCUCCCCCCUCUCUCUCUGUCUCUGUGUCUCUGUGUCUCUGUUCCCUCCCACCCCCUUUCCUCCACCCCAGAUCUCAAGAUCUAGGGUCUUCUUCAGCAUUUUUACUGUUUAAUAAUUCAAAUUAAACAAGAGGAAUAUUAUCAUUAACCCACAAAUAUUUUUGAAUGAAAAUAUUGUUUAUGUAAAUCUUCCUACAAAGAAGAGAAGCUCCAAGGUUAUUUAGAUAACAUAAAAAUUAAAACACACACAAAAAUUACAUUUGUCAAAUAGGAUGCUUUUUACUGAUCUGAUUUAGGGAAAGAGUUAAAAAAAAAUCCUACCAAUAACCAGUGAGAAAAGCCUCUAGAACAAACAGGCAUAAAUAAUGGGCCAGACAACUAGGAAACUAUCCGAAUGCGGCCCUCUCCUUGCCUUUUUAUCCUCUAGUGAUGUGUUUGGUUCGGCUCAGAUCAUAUGACGUCAUCAAGAACAGUUAAGAGUUUUUCCAUGUUUCUUUUAGAGAAGUUAAGAGAGAGAAAGCAAAGUUCAUGCAGAAAGAUGAUUAAACUUCACCUAGGAAUUUACGUUUCCCCUUAAGAGAUGUGAAGAGCAUGCAUUAGGCCAUAAACUUGUACCCGAAUGCUAUCCAGUCUUAAAAGUGGCAUGACCCUGUCUUCCAAUUUCAAGAAGAGCAGUGGGGUAGGACACUGGCGGCCUACGUGUCACCAAGGAAGGUGAUGGAAUGAAUGCAUGAUGCUUGGGCUUGUAGAUCUGCAAAGCAGGGAACUCUUACUUUGAGAUAUUAGAAAAACAGAAAUUUGAGAGACUCAGAGGGAAUCAUGUAACCUAUUAUAAUCAUUUGUAUCUUUACAAAGGGAAAAAAACUACAAUACACACUUCAGGGGAUUUUGCAUAUUAGUGGAAGAAAGUGUUAAAGAUACAUAAGUGAAUCCCAUUGAAGGCAUAGAUUAGCAUUAAUAUCUUCUGACUAUUGCAAUAAAUUCUAUGUGGCUCUUUCUUCUCCUAAAAUGUUCAGCAAAAAGUACUGAAAUCCUUUAAGAUGGUUGAGGUAGAAACAUACUUGAAUUCACUUUAUUUUAAAACAGUGGCUGCAGAUAAUUCCCUUUACCAACAAGGCUCACUGCUCCAGGGCUCUGUUUCCAUGGAAUUUCUGAAAACUGACCAGGGUCUAAAAGCUGUACAUUUCAUCUUGCUUGUUGUCAAAGGUUAGUCUACGAGUCUCCAUAAAACUGGCACACCAGCCAACCAAAUCCUGGGGUGGGGGUGGGGGUCUCUGUAGGAAGCUGGUAUUCUUAUAAGUGAAUUGCUGAAUUACAGAAACUUCAGGUAACCUCCACAGCAAAGAUUGGUGGUGUUGCCUACAGAUAUUAGGAUCUUUUACAAAUCUUCAAAUUAGGCAAAUAAAUGCCCCUCAGAAAUCCAACCUAAAUUCCCAAGGAGGUAUGAGUGGGAUCAAGAUCAAGUGGCCCAGAAAGGGCUUUCUCCCUAAGGUUCAGGGCUGACAUUAGCUAGAGUGGACAGUCACAGGAAUCAUGCAAUUGUGGACUAAAUAGUUGUAAAGUGGACCUGACCCUUUAAACUUUGACCUUUUCAAAGCAAAAUGUAGAAAUAUUUUAAAAUCCAGGCUUGUUUUCUUCUUGUUUUUCCAAGAAGCUGAACACACACACAAAUGAGCUGUGAGUUGUGGGCCAACAUAUUUAUAAAACCUACCCAGAUUCCCAAGGUAUGGAGUCCUGCCUCCUCAUUCUUGCCUAGUCUCAUUGUGAAAUACAAGUGAAGGUAUCUUUGACCACAUAUUCUUUGUGUCACAUGGAAGAGAUGAGCAAACAGAUUACAGGGCUCCUUUCUGCACUUUUUUUACUGCACUGUCUUCCUGUGACCAUAGUUUGUGUUUCUUUGUUUUGGUACCGAGAAGGAAUAGGUUGAUGUUGGGAAAGGAGCUUUCAAAUGAUGAUAAAGGUUGCAGGAAGGCCUGCUUAAGUGUUUCUUUUGGUAUUUGCCUCAUUUUAAAAGGCUGUGACUAGGACUUCAUACCUGUCUAAUAAGCAUGCAUGGACCAUUUCGUGUUUGGUGACUGCUUUAUAGGCCCUCAUUAGUCCCCACAGUACCCCUUUAGGGUUGGGCAGGCAUUACCACCUACAGGUUACAUGUGAGGAAAUUUAAGACACAAAAGGAUUAUGUGAUUUGUACAGGGUCACCCGGCAUGUGACUCUAGCUAAUAAAAGAUGACUACAAACUCUUUCC
Molecule: long non-coding RNA, 4259 nt
Organism: Mus musculus (house mouse)
Lineage: Eukaryota; Metazoa; Chordata; Mammalia; Rodentia; Muridae
Product: predicted gene 10536
Exons: 1
Source: RefSeq, marked validated